This 516-nucleotide ribosomal RNA is filed under the name uncultured bacterium. Its description in RNAcentral is "bacterial SSU rRNA". It matches the Rfam family "Bacterial small subunit ribosomal RNA", at positions 33 to 541 of the family's 1533-position model. The record is from RNAcentral.
GAUGAACGCUAGCGGCAGGCCUAACACAUGCAAGUCGAGGGGCAUCAUCCUUUCGGGGGUGAGAGAGUGGCGAACUGGUGAGUAACACGUAGGUUAUCUACCCUCAAGACGGGGACAACCCAGGGAAACUUGGGCUAAUACCGGAUGUGAGCAACUUUUAGUUGUUUGAAAGGUGGCGUAAGCUGUCGCUUGGGGAUGAGCCUGCGUCCUAUUAGUUAGUUGGUGAGGUAACGGCUCACCUAGGCAAUGAUAGGUAGGCGGCCUUAACGGGUGGUCGCCCACACUGGGAUUGAGAUACGGCCCAGACUCCUACGGGGGGCAGCAGUGGGGGAUCUUGCACAAUGGGCGAAAGCCUGAUGCAGCGACGCCGCGUGAGUGAAGAAGGCCUUCGGUUGUAAAGCUCUGUCUGGAGGGACGGAAGGAAGUGACGGUACCUCCGGAGGAAGGCCACGGCUAACUACGUGCCAGCAGCCGCGGUAAAACGUCACGUACGUACGUAGAGCGGGCGGUGGCGAC